Molecule: long non-coding RNA, 1054 nt
Filed under: Helianthus annuus (common sunflower)
Lineage: Eukaryota; Viridiplantae; Streptophyta; Magnoliopsida; Asterales; Asteraceae
Description: hypothetical non coding rna
Source: RNAcentral
UAUCGACUCGCUCCACAUUGAAAGUCCCAGGGAUUUCUCUAAAAUCUUCAUUGAAGAUGGGAUAAGCACUGAGUUAUUCGUUGUUAUAGUGUUGUUUUUGAAAUGAUGAUCACAACUAAUGCUAGUUUAAAAAAUGUUGCAUAAAUAAUGCCAGCGCCAUUACAAAUGGCGAAUUUUUAAAGGUAGUAGGUUGUGUAAGGGAAUAAUCAGAAAUGUGUAAGAACCAAUCAUCUUGAAAAGGACGAAAAGCUGCAAAGAGCCAUUUGGAAUGGCGAAAACCUGCAAAAUGCCAUUUGGAAUGGCGAAAUCCUGCAAAAAGCCAUUUGUAAUGGCGAAACUUUUCCAAGUCUACAUGUUUAGCCAUUGAAAAUGGCAAAAAAUUUUAAAGGUUGCAUGCUUAGCCAUUCAAAAUGGCGAUUUUUUAUAAAGCCAUUCAAAAUUUUAAAUUUCUGUCUGUCGCAAUGCAAAUUGUAGAAAAGGUCAGUCGGUCACUAUCCAUUAAUUGCUUUACUAUAUAUUAAUAUACCAUAAAAUUAAAAUUGAAUUAAAAAUAUAUUUUUCAGCAAGAAUUAGUGAUGUUAUAUUAUCCGGCUGUUAACAUGGCAGAUUCAUAAGGGAAAGUAAACUGUACAUUUGGGUUUAUGAUUUGUAACUUUGAUUAUCAGAGAAAAGAUUGCCAUCAGAAGCAUAUCUACUCAACAAAAUAUAUAUAUCGAGAUCAUCAAAAUUCGUAAGUUAUGAACCUGAAAUACCAUAAGCUUACCGGGUAUCUUCAGCUUAUCAUGUAAGAUAACAAAAAGCCGCCUCUUCCAUUUACUGUUUAAUUCUGGGACCUGAAACUUCUGCAAUGUGGUCCUCAUCAUCGUCAAAUCCAUUUUUGUGCGCAGUGCUGGCAUCAUUGAAAGUACCAAAACAAAAAACAUAACAGAUGUAUACCAGUACUGUUGUCGAUGUUAUAAAACGAUUAUGAGGCUCAGAUUUGUAAACAAUCAAACAUAGUAGAUAAAUCCGCCAUGGCUGCAUACUUACGGUUGCCAUGUGAAACCACAUGACC